This 253-nucleotide ribosomal RNA is filed under the name uncultured bacterium. Its description in RNAcentral is "partial 16S ribosomal RNA". It matches the Rfam family "Bacterial small subunit ribosomal RNA", at positions 524 to 776 of the family's 1533-position model. The record is from RNAcentral.
UACGAAGGGUGCAAGCGUUGUUCGGAAUCACUGGGCGUAAAGGGCGUGUAGGCGGUCCGCUAAGUCUGAUGUGAAAGCCCGGGGCUCACCCCCGGAAGUGCAUUGGAAACUGGCGGACUCGAGUCCCGGAGAGGAGGGUGGAGUUCCUGGUGUAGCGGUGAAAUGCGUAGAUAUCAGGAGGAACACCGGUGGCGAAGGCGGCCCUCUGGACGGUGACUGACGCUGAGACGCGAAAGCCAGGGGAGCAAACGGG